Molecule: ribosomal RNA, 253 nt
Filed under: uncultured bacterium
Lineage: Bacteria
Description: partial 16S ribosomal RNA
Rfam family: Bacterial small subunit ribosomal RNA
Source: RNAcentral
UACGGGGGGGGCAAGCGUUGUUCGGAAUUACUGGGCGUAAAGGGCUCGUAGGCGGCCAACUAAGUCCGACGUGAAAUCCCAAGGCUUAACCUUGGAACUGCGUCGGAUACUGGAUGGCUUGAAUUCGGGAGAGGGAUGCAGAAUUCCAGGUGUAGCGGUGAAAUGCGUAGAUAUCUGGAGGAACACCGGUGGCGAAGGCGACAUCCUGGACCGGUAUUGACGCUGAGGCGCGAAAGCCAGGGGAGCAAACGGG